RNAcentral lists this ribosomal RNA (439 nucleotides) under uncultured bacterium. RNAcentral describes it as "partial 16S ribosomal RNA". It matches the Rfam family "Bacterial small subunit ribosomal RNA", at positions 339 to 795 of the family's 1533-position model. The record is from RNAcentral.
CUACGGGUUGCUGCAGUGGGGAAUCUUGGACAAUGGGCGCAAGCCUGAUCCAGCCAUGCCGCGUGAGUGAAGAAGGCCUUAGGGUCGUAAAGCUCUUUCGCCAGAGAUGAUAAUGACAGUAUCUGGUAAAGAAACCCCGGCUAACUCCGUGCCAGCAGCCGCGGUAAUACGGAGGGGGUUAGCGUUGUUCGGAAUUACUGGGCGUAAAGCGCGCGUAGGCGGAUUAGUCAGUCAGAGGUGAAAUCCCAGGGCUCAACCCUGGAACUGCCUUUGAUACUGCUAGUCUUGAGUUCGAGAGAGGUGAGUGGAAUUCCGGGUGUAGAGGUGAAAUUCGUAGAUAUUCGGAGGAACACCAGUGGCGAAGGCGGCUCACUGGCUCGAUACUGACGCUGAGGUGCGAAAGUGUGGGGAGCAAACAGGAUUAGAUACCCGGGUAGUC